GACGAACGCUGGCGGCGUGCCUAAUACAUGCAAGUCGAACGAACCGCGACUAAGUGCUUGCACUAAGUCAAGGUGAGUGGCGAACGGGUGAGUAACACGUGGGUAACCUACCUCAUAGUGGGGGAUAACAGUCGGAAACGACUGCUAAUACCGCAUAGGACAUAGGAUCACAUGAUCCAGUGAGGAAAGGUGGCGCAAGCUAUCGCUAAGAGAUGGACCCGCGGUGCAUUAGCUAGUUGGUAGGGUAAAGGCCUACCAAGGCGAUGAUGCAUAGCCGACCUGAGAGGGUGAUCGGCCACAUUGGGACUGAGACACGGCCCAAACUCCUACGGGAGGCAGCAGUAGGGAAUCUUCCGCAAUGGACGCAAGUCUGACGGAGCAACGCCGCGUGAGUGAAGAAGGUCUUCGGAUCGUAAAACUCUGUUGUUAGAGAAGAACAGCGCAUAGAGUAACUGCUAUGCGUGUGACGGUAUCUAACCAGAAAGCCACGGCUAACUACGUG
Molecule: ribosomal RNA, 502 nt
Filed under: uncultured bacterium
Lineage: Bacteria
Description: partial 16S ribosomal RNA
Rfam family: Bacterial small subunit ribosomal RNA
Source: RNAcentral